Molecule: ribosomal RNA, 579 nt
Filed under: Ditomyia fasciata
Lineage: Eukaryota; Metazoa; Arthropoda; Insecta; Diptera; Ditomyiidae
Description: eukaryotic LSU rRNA
Source: RNAcentral
AAACCGCUUAGGGGUUAAGCCCGAUGAACCUGAAUAUCCGAAAUGGAAAAUUCAAUAAUGUUUUUUCGAAUAUUUUUCAUUAAAUGUUUGAACGUUAUGCACUUUUUCCAUAGUAGGACAUUGCAAUUUAUUAACAUAUACUAUCCUUCGGGAUAGUUACAUUUAUUAAACGGCCCUAUAUAUGCAAGUUUAUUCAAUACCUUUGGUUUAUUCUAAAGUGCUAUGGUUUAAUGCUAUAAUGGUGUUUCCUAAUAAAUGGUUGAUAAAUUUAUAAAUCUUAAAUUGCACAGACAUAGCGAUAUGUAAUUCACGGUACAUUUCAAUUAUUGAUUUGUAUGCAGUGUUAUGUGUUUAUUUGAUUUGCAAUGCGAUAGAUUUGGGAUACCUUCGGGACCCGUCUUGAAACACGGACCAAGAAGUCUAACAUGUGUGCAAGUCAUUGGGUAUGUGUGUUGAAACCUAAAGGCGAAAUUAAAAUAACUAUUUUAAUGGGAUUAUAAGCGAUUAAAUACGUUAAACUAUUUAUCGUUUUUCCAUCCCGGGGCGUUCAUAUAUAAACAUGGUUUAAGCAAUUAAACU